AAAAGCGUGGGUUGCCUCCCACGGAGCGCUUCGUUUAACGUUGCCUGGCUUGACGGUAGUUCAUCUUAUCAGACAAGAUGAACAACAUCAAUUUGACCAAUUUCUUGCUCCACAUUUUAAGGUUUUAACCUUUGUUCAUUCACUUUAAUAAUGUCCCCAUUGGAUUGAUUUUUUAUUUCAAUUGCUCCAUGGGCAUAUACCUUGUGUAUCAUAA
This 214-nucleotide long non-coding RNA is filed under the name Lathyrus oleraceus (garden pea). RNAcentral describes it as "Pisum sativum (pea) long non-coding RNA (PSAT_LNC035473)". Lineage: Eukaryota; Viridiplantae; Streptophyta; Magnoliopsida; Fabales; Fabaceae. The record is from RNAcentral.